UUACGUGAGUUAAAUCGUCGA
RNAcentral lists this microRNA (21 nucleotides) under Brachypodium distachyon (stiff brome). RNAcentral's name for it is "bdi-miR5202". The record is from miRBase by way of RNAcentral. Lineage: Eukaryota; Viridiplantae; Streptophyta; Magnoliopsida; Poales; Poaceae.